Molecule: ribosomal RNA, 1122 nt
Filed under: uncultured Blattabacterium sp.
Lineage: Bacteria; Pseudomonadati; Bacteroidota; Flavobacteriia; Flavobacteriales; Blattabacteriaceae
Description: bacterial LSU rRNA
Rfam family: Bacterial large subunit ribosomal RNA
Source: RNAcentral
CGUGAGGGAAAGGUGAAAAGUACUUCGAAUAGAAGGGUGAAAUAGAUCCUGAAACCAUACGCUUACAAUCUGUCGGAGCCUCCUAGUGAUAGUGAGGUGACGACGUGCCUUUUGCAUAAUGAACCUACGAGUUAAUUUUUCCGGCGAGGUUAAGUAGUUCAGCUACGGAGCCGUAGCGAAAGCGAGUCUGAAUAGGGCAUUUAGUCGGAAGGAUUAGACGCGAAACCGAGUGAUCUACCCAUGAGCAGGUUGAAGCUGUGGUAACACAUAGUGGAGGACCGAACCGGUGGACGUUGAAAAGUCUUCGGAUGACUUGUGGGUAGGGGUGAAAGGCCAAUCAAACUCGGAGAUAGCUCGUACUCCCCGAAAUGCAUUUAGGUGCAGCAUCGUGUUAAAUAAAACAGAGGUAGAGCUACUGAUUGGAUGAAGGGGUUUCAUCACCUACUAAUUCCUGAUAAACUCCGAAUGCUGUUAUUAUGUUUCACGGUAGUGAGGGCAUGGGUGCUAAGGUCCAUGUCCAAGAGGGAAACAACCCAGACCAUCAGUUAAGGCCCCCAAGUGUAUAUUAAGUUGUAUAAACAAAGUUUAGUUACAAAGACAGCUACGAAUGGUGUAACGAUCUGGAAACUGUCUCAGCCGUGAGCUCGGUGAAAUUGUAAUAUCGGUGAAGAUGCCGAUUACUCGCAAUGGGACGAAAAGACCCUGUGAACCUUUACUAUAGCUUCGUAUUGAUUUUGAUUAAAAAAUGUGUAGGAUAGGUGGGAGACUUUGAAGUAUUGUCGCAAGACAAUAUGGAGUCAACCUUGAAAUACCACCCUUUUUUUAAUUGAAAUCUAACUCAAUUAAUUGUUGAGGACGUUGCGUGGUGGGUAGUUUGACUGGGGUGGUCGCCUCCAAAAAGGUAACGGAGGCUUCCAAAGGUACCCUCAGCACGUUUGGUAAUCGUGUGUAGAGUAUAAUGGCAUAAGGGUGCUUGACUGUGAGACCAACAAGUCGAUCAGGUACGAAAGUAGGGCAUAGUGAUCCGGUGGUUCCGUAUGGAAGGGCCAUCGCUCAAAGGAUAAAAGGUACUCCGGGGAUAACAGGCUAGUCUCCCCCAAGAGCUCAUAUCGACGGGGAGGU